This 332-nucleotide ribosomal RNA is filed under the name uncultured bacterium. RNAcentral's name for it is "bacterial SSU rRNA". It matches the Rfam family "Bacterial small subunit ribosomal RNA", at positions 568 to 898 of the family's 1533-position model. The record is from RNAcentral.
CGCGUAGGCGGCUUGGCAAGUCAGAUGUGAAAGCCCCAGGCUUAACUUGGGAAUUGCAUCUGAAACUGCUUUGCUUGAGUCCUGGAGGGGAUAGUGGAAUUCCCAGUGUAGCGGUGAAAUGCGUAGAUAUUGGGAGGAACACCUGCGGCGAAGGCGGCUAUCUGGACAGUGACUGACGCUGAGGCGCGAAAGCUAGGGGAGCGAACGGGAUUAGAUACCCCGGUAGUCCUAGCCGUAAACGAUGGGCACUUGGUGUUGGGGGUAUUGAGUCCCUCGGUGCCGGAGUUAACACGUUAAGUGCCCCGCCUGGGGAGUACGGUCGCAAGACUGAA